This 355-nucleotide unclassified non-coding RNA is filed under the name Hevea brasiliensis (rubber tree). The record is from RNAcentral. Lineage: Eukaryota; Viridiplantae; Streptophyta; Magnoliopsida; Malpighiales; Euphorbiaceae.
AUAUAAAUGAUGUAAAACAUUCAUCAGACUACCAUUUCACAAAUGAAAUCGUGAUGAGGAGAACAACAGUUUGCAGAGACUAGCUUCACAGAUCCAUCCAAUAAUACCAAAAAUCAAGUAGUCAACUUGCCAUAUAUCCCAUGGAAAUAUUCACCCUUAUUAAAAGAAAAAUCAGAUAUAAAGUUAUAAGUCCCACCCCUAAUGUCUUAGUGGGACGCAUGUCAUGUUUAGGUAAAACUACAAGUGCCCAGAUUAGCCCUGACAUGAGAAAACCAAUAGUGUAAAACAAGCUGCUGUCUUGAGGAAUCACAUAAAUGCCAGUACUCUGUGACCAGGCUCCUAGCAGCAUUGAGAU